RNAcentral lists this ribosomal RNA (251 nucleotides) under uncultured prokaryote. RNAcentral describes it as "partial 16S rRNA". It matches the Rfam family "Bacterial small subunit ribosomal RNA", at positions 525 to 775 of the family's 1533-position model. The record is from RNAcentral.
ACGGAGGAUCCGAGCGUUAUCCGGAUUUACUGGGUUUAAAGGGUGCGUAGGCGGCUCCCUCAGUCAGCGGUGAAAUGUGUCGGCUCAACCGACAACCUGCCGUUGAUACUGGGGAGCUUGAGUUGGGUUGAGGCAGGCGGAAUGUGCGGUGUGGGGGUGAAAUAGACAAAUCUGGCGCGGAGCCACGAUUGCGUAGGAAGCUAACAGUAUUGAACCUGAGGGUGAGUCGCGUAAGUGUGGGGUUAUUGCCG